AUGCGUAAACUAUUCGAACUCUAUAUGCUAUUAUCAAACUUGUGUGCUCACCUUUACAUUUUAAGUAUUGACUUUAUUUUAACGUAUGUGACAGGUGUUUAGGAUGCAUUCUUGCUAGGGGAGCGAGGCUAGAAUAAAGCUCUAGAGGCCAAUAAAUAGUUGUAGGUAGUGGUCUACCUAGGGGUCUCUAGAAGCCGAUGAACAACUGCCAUGGAGCCGUUGGAUUUGUCUGAUCAGGGGUCUAUGGCAUUAGCUGUCUGUAGAUCUUGUCCAGAUAGGUCUUAGUGACUUCAAGCAGUACUUUAUUCAUUUGGUUUGUAAUAAUUGAAUCUGAGUUGUCGGAACGGAAUUAUUUGCCUAGUUGCUUUCUAUGAUAACUUGUUUAUUUAUUUGGGAUACGGUAUGGGACGUAUCAUUUAACUGAAUUUGUAAUAAUAGUUGUUGUGGAAACUUCUGGA
Molecule: long non-coding RNA, 458 nt
Filed under: Helianthus annuus (common sunflower)
Lineage: Eukaryota; Viridiplantae; Streptophyta; Magnoliopsida; Asterales; Asteraceae
Description: sRNA HanXRQr2_Chr14g0653911
Source: RNAcentral